Molecule: signal recognition particle RNA, 96 nt
Filed under: Lysobacterales bacterium
Lineage: Bacteria; Pseudomonadati; Pseudomonadota; Gammaproteobacteria; Lysobacterales
Description: signal recognition particle sRNA small type
Rfam family: Bacterial small signal recognition particle RNA
About the family: The signal recognition particle (SRP) is a universally conserved ribonucleoprotein involved in the co-translational targeting of proteins to membranes. Archaeal SRP consists of a 7S RNA and homologues of the eukaryotic SRP19 and SRP54 proteins. In most bacteria, the SRP consists of a 4.5S RNA and the Ffh protein (a homologue of the eukaryotic SRP54 protein).
Source: RNAcentral
UGUCAGUCCCCCGCGUCGGGCGGCCGCAAACCCCGCCAGGCCCGGAAGGGAGCAACGGUAGCGGUUCAACCGAGCGCCGGGGUACAGCUGGCAGGG